Molecule: unclassified non-coding RNA, 279 nt
Filed under: Hevea brasiliensis (rubber tree)
Lineage: Eukaryota; Viridiplantae; Streptophyta; Magnoliopsida; Malpighiales; Euphorbiaceae
Source: RNAcentral
GGCCGUGAAAUCUUCUCUCAAAGGAAGGCUAGUGUAAGUGGUAGCUUCGCCUCCGGGUAAGGUGAGUGGUUGUGGUGCAGAUUUGUACGUACUCUUUUGAGGCUUCAAAUUAGAGUUGCGGUUCCGCCUGAGGCUUCGAGAAAGCCUUUGCGGAGAAGAUCUUUUAGGGAUACGGUUUCCAGUUCUCGGGCGAGCUAGAGCUCGCGGGGAGAAGCAGGUUAUGGACAUGGAAGCCAUUCGCAUUUCUCUGCUCAGAAGUCAGUAGAUAGUGGCUAGGAG